This is a non-coding RNA of Carica papaya (papaya), 1537 nucleotides long. The record is from RefSeq and is a predicted model, not a curated record. Lineage: Eukaryota; Viridiplantae; Streptophyta; Magnoliopsida; Brassicales; Caricaceae.
AGCUCAUGACCUUAAACCCAGUUCUUCCUGGUAAACCCGUUAAACCAUCUCUCAAGCCCGGUUCGAAACCACCCUUCUCCCCCAAAUUUCCUUUCCUCUUCUUCUUCCUUCACGUGCCGGAUCCCCUCAUUCUCUUUCAGUUCUAUAGGCUACACAUUCUUCUUCAACAGAACCGCAAUCCCCUCUUCCACUGUUUAACCUUCACUUGUUUCUUUACUCCUCUUCUUAUCCUUCGCCUCCAGAUAAUGAUACUAUCUUUCCUUUCUGGAGAAGUAUGUAAAUUCCAGACGUCUUGUCUUCUUCUUAUGUCAUCAACAUACACUCAAGCCUUAAAAAUCCUUCUCCUCUUUCUCCAUUAUCGGAUGACCUCUCUCGCUCUUUAAGCCUUCUUGGACGCCGAGGUCAAUUCGACCUAAUCUUCAUUUAAUCCUCUCGAAAACUGCAACUUCCUGUUGGUUUUACUGCAGCAUUUGAAGAAUGUUCGAACCACAUGAGAUAGCAGCUGAUAAAUCACACAAGAUCACCACUGAUUCGCGACUCCAGACUCUUUGCAGCAGGAGUUCUUGUUUCCUCCGUUUAGAUGUCUUUGCAUUGUCCGUCACCUCUCUCUCUUUGGGCCUUCUUGGUGGCCGAGGCUCAUAUCUUCAUUUAAUCUCUCAAAAACUGCAACUCCCUGUUGGUUUUACUCUCAAAUUUAUGUGAUUUGUUGAUAUUUAAAUUAAUGUUUAAGUUUAAGUUUUAAUUUAUGUUUAUUGUGAAAUUAUUAAGAUUUUGUUAUUUUAAGGAAUGUUUGUGUAAUUUGUGUAUAGCCGGAUUUAAAUAUUGGAAAUCAUUUGUGGACAAAAGAUCAAGAAAAAGAGGAGGAAACGCAGUUUGGGAACAAAAUAUUUUGUAAAGUAUGGCUAGUAAUCAAAUUAAUAUUUAUUUAUCAAAAGUUGGUUGGACAAAUUCAUUAGAGAUUUCAAUUUAAGGACAGGAAAGCUAUUCUCAAAAGAAAAAAAAAAAAUUUAAGGACAGGAAAACAGUUAGAUAGAAAACAAAUGACAAAUAAUGGCAAUUGUUUCGAAAAUAGUGGCAACUUUGGAGAGAAUUACUUCUUAAUGAAACAGGAAUUAUUUGAGAUCACGAAACUGGUUUUAUUUGAUGCUGAUGGUGGAAAUGGUGGGAGAAAAAAACUUAAGGUAAUGUUAAAUUUUCAUUUGAGAUUUCUUAUUUGAAAAUGUGAAAGUAUUAUACUUUAAAUUAAUUAUCAUAUUACUAUAGGUGGUUCCAGAUGCUGCUAGAUUUAGAAUUUCUUUACUUGGGUUCAAUGACUAUAUGGAUGUUAUGUUUUCUGGUUUGGUUAUUACUGGACUUAAAAUCAUGGGCGCCAGCUUUAGGCACCUUACUGAACAAUGGUCAUUCUGAUAAUCCAUGAGGUGUAUUAAUUUUUUGCUAUUUUUAUUUAAGUAAUGCUGAAACUCAUUUGUUAAGUUACAAUGUACUUAUUGUUAUUAGAUUGUGUUGGAAUAUAGAAAAUUUUAUUAGUUCCUUCUCA